GGGAAGUGUGGACAUGGGUGUGGACAGGGGAGUUGGGGAUGACGAUUGUGGACAAGAGAUGUAUGUACGUGGAUGCAUUCGACAAAGGCAUGGAUGGGAGGACUAUGGAGGGCAUGUCUGUGGAGUUGAGCAGCAUAUUUGAAGACCCGUACAUGUCCAAUGUUCAUAUGAUUUGAUAUUUUUGCUGUUUUUUUUUGUUUCUUUAGUAAUGGCAAAAUCGUAAUUAUGGUCAUCUUCUUCUUCUUCCAAAUUGUUUUACUUCGUCUGCAACACUUUCAUGGCCGACCAUAGAAUAUUGUCACAAUAAAUCAAAAAAUCACGUUGUUCAUGUUGUUUUUGAGUUAAACU
RNAcentral lists this long non-coding RNA (348 nucleotides) under Brassica napus (rape). Its description in RNAcentral is "long non-coding RNA (BNAP_LNC018977)". The record is from RNAcentral. Lineage: Eukaryota; Viridiplantae; Streptophyta; Magnoliopsida; Brassicales; Brassicaceae.